This 424-nucleotide long non-coding RNA is filed under the name Salmo salar (Atlantic salmon). Its description in RNAcentral is "lncRNA (ENSSSAG00000098100.1)". The record is from RNAcentral. Lineage: Eukaryota; Metazoa; Chordata; Actinopteri; Salmoniformes; Salmonidae.
CAGUACCAUAUUAACAAUGUGCAGGGAUACUGGAGUGAUGGAGGUAGAUAUGUAUAGGGGUAAGGUGACUAUAUACAGGGUCAGUACCAUAUUAACAAUGUGCAGGGAUACUGGAGUGAUGGAGGUCAGUACCAUAUUAACAAUGUGCAGGGAUACUGGAGUGAUGGAGGUAGAUAUGUAUAGGGGUAAGGUGACUAUAUACAGGGUCAGUACCAUAUUAACAAUGUGCAGGGAUACUGGAGUGAUGGAGGUAGAUAUGUAUAGGGGGAAGGUGACUAUAUACAGGGUCAGUACCAUAUUAACAAUGUGCAGGGAUACUGGAGUGAUGGAGGUAGAUAUGUAUAGGGGGAAGGUGACUAUAUACAGGGUCAGUACCAUAUUAACAAUGUGCAGGGAUACUGGAGUGAUGGAGGUAGAUAUGUAU